This 427-nucleotide ribosomal RNA is filed under the name uncultured bacterium. RNAcentral's name for it is "bacterial SSU rRNA". It matches the Rfam family "Bacterial small subunit ribosomal RNA", at positions 355 to 774 of the family's 1533-position model. The record is from RNAcentral.
UAGGGAAUAUUGGACAAUGGGCGCAAGCCUGAUCCAGCCAUGCCGCGUGAGUGAAGAAGGCCCUCGGGUUGUAAAGCUCUUUUGUCCGGAAAGAAAAGCAUCGGGUUAAUACCCCGGUGUUCUGACGGUACCGGAAGAAUAAGCACCGGCUAACUUCGUGCCAGCAGCCGCGGUAAUACGAAGGGUGCAAGCGUUACUCGGAAUUACUGGGCGUAAAGCGUGCGUAGGUGGUUCGUUAAGUCUGAUGUGAAAGCCUUGGGCUCAACCUGGGAAUGGCAUUGGAAACUGGCGGACUGGAGUGCGGUAGAGGGUAGCGGAAUUCCCGGUGUAGCAGUGAAAUGCGUAGAGAUCGGGAGGAACAUCCGUGGCGAAGGCGGCUACCUGGACCAGCACUGACACUGAGGCACGAAAGCGUGGGGAGCAAACA